Molecule: ribosomal RNA, 506 nt
Filed under: uncultured bacterium
Lineage: Bacteria
Description: bacterial SSU rRNA
Rfam family: Bacterial small subunit ribosomal RNA
Source: RNAcentral
CUACGUGCCAGCAGCCGCGGUAAUACGGAAGGUCCAGGCGUUAUCCGGAUUUAUUGGGUUUAAAGGGAGCGUAGGCGGAUUGUUAAGUCAGCGGUUAAAGGGUGUGGCUCAACCAUGCAUUGCCGUUGAAACUGGCGAUCUUGAGUGCAGACAGGGAUGCCGGAAUUCGUGGUGUAGCGGUGAAAUGCUUAGAUAUCACGAAGAACUCCGAUCGCGAAGGCAGGUGUCCGGGCUGCAACUGACGCUGAAGCUCGAAAGUGUGGGUAUCAAACAGGAUUAGAUACCCUGGUAGUCCACACAGUAAACGAUGUAUACUCGCGGUUUGCGAUAGAUUGUAAGCCGCCAAGCGAAAGCAUUAAGUAUACCACCUGGGGAGUACGCCGGCAACGGUGAAACUCAAAGGAAUUGACGGGGGCCCGCACAAGCGGAGGAACAUGUGGUUUAAUUCGAUGAUACGCGAGGAACCUUACCCGGGCUUGAACUAACGGUGACGAAUCUAGAGAUAG